UACGAAAGGAGCAAGUGUUAUUCAGAUUAACUGGGCGUAAAGCGCGCGUAGGCGGCUAUUCAAGUCAGAGGUGAAAGCCCGGGGCUCAACCCCGGAACUGCCUUUGAAACUAGGUAGCUAGAAUCUUGGAGAGGUCAGUGGAAUUCCGAGUGUAGAGGUGAAAUUCGUAGAUAUUCGGAAGAACACCAGUGGCGAAGGCGACUGACUGGACAAGUAUUGACGCUGAGGUGCGAAAGCGUGGGGAGCAAACAGG
This 253-nucleotide ribosomal RNA is filed under the name uncultured bacterium. Its description in RNAcentral is "partial 16S ribosomal RNA". It matches the Rfam family "Bacterial small subunit ribosomal RNA", at positions 524 to 776 of the family's 1533-position model. The record is from RNAcentral.